CAUGAGUUGUCUAGGACUCGUGUCUGCCUGCAGGACCCCSGGCCUGAUGUGCGGCCGACUGCUGGCGCCGAUGUCCCAUCAUUCUUGCGGUUCUAACCAUUCCGCUCAACCAACGAGUGCUUGCAUGCUGGUACCCAAACUACGGGAAGUUUUGCUUCAUACACGGUUGCCUCGCUGUGGAACCCCAAGGGUGUUCCGCUGCGGCCGAAUAGCUCGUGCGGUGUUGCCUCGUGGUGCCGGCGCCCUACGUGCCCGGCGCUUCAAAGGCGACCUCGCUCGCACUAUUGGUCUCGGAUGUUGCCAAUGAUAUAGGCUCGUGCCCCGUUGCGGUCACGUCCCUAACGAAAGCUCUCUCAAUCUACGACAGCCGGCCCGGUGAAUGCCGCCUCCAUGCACAAGCUGGAUGGUUCCGCUCUCCGUGUCGGCUCGUMCMUGAGGACGUGCU
Molecule: unclassified non-coding RNA, 445 nt
Filed under: Oloptum miliaceum (smilo grass)
Lineage: Eukaryota; Viridiplantae; Streptophyta; Magnoliopsida; Poales; Poaceae
Description: partial external transcribed spacer
Source: RNAcentral